Molecule: ribosomal RNA, 119 nt
Organism: Petromyzon marinus (sea lamprey)
Lineage: Eukaryota; Metazoa; Chordata; Hyperoartia; Petromyzontiformes; Petromyzontidae
Source: Ensembl
GCCUACGACCAUAUCACCCUGAAUGUGCCCGAUCUCGUCUGAUCUCAGAAGCUAAGCAUGGUCGAGCCUGGUUAGUACUUGGAUAGGAGACUGGCUUGGAAUACCAGGUGUUGUAGGCU